AUAAUAAAGGCUGUUCGCUGUGCCAACGUUUCUAACACAUGCAGCUUCCUGGAAGGGCUGAUAAAUGACUCCUGCACAAUUUUUCAAGGCUAUUAACUUGAGUGUCUUUUUAUUCAGUCUCAUUACUUUUUAAACAGCCAUAGGAAGUCACAAGGAGGUUUCUAAAAUCCAAACAUCUCUGGAAGGGUCAAAAUGAAGAGUGCCUGCAGAUGACAUCAACUUUGCCAAGGGGGUUCCGGCUAGAGGAGGUUCUCUUUGAGACGGUGCAGGAAUGACAGGACAAGAAAUGUGACUUCAAAGCUUCCCAGUAGGCAUCUGGAAGACAGAUUCCCUGUGAAAAUGCCAAAACUGGCAUCAUACUCUCAUCAUCCAGACUUCACUUCCUUAUUAGAUGGCAGUUGUGUUAUUAAGAUGAAACCCAUACUCCACCAGCAUUGUUGAAUAGAGGACUUGUAAAUAAUAGAUAGCUUAUAUGGUCCCAUCAAGGCACAGAGAGAGCAAAAGAUGAAAGUGAUUUUCACCAUGCAUGCACACCGCGGUAUUCCAUUGACUUUGAGUUGACAUUUGAUCUGAAAGUAAAGAGAUAAUUUUGACAUCUGCUGCUGAUCAAAGCAUUGGAUGGUGAAUUGUUUGCCUUGUAGUUCUCUAUGUGGCAUCCCCAUCUAAACAGGUAUUCCACACUGGACCUGCUACUAUCAUUAGUGAAGGUUAAGACUGUUCCCAAUACACUUCACAUAUUCAAAACCUAUAAUCAUAUGCAGAUACCGCAGUCCUUAACUGCUUCAUAACCAAGCAUACAGUACAUACUUAUUAUUUCUCAGCUUCGCUCCGACGUUAACAUUAAAUCAAAACCUACUCAGAAAUUAUU
Molecule: long non-coding RNA, 868 nt
Organism: Carassius carassius (crucian carp)
Lineage: Eukaryota; Metazoa; Chordata; Actinopteri; Cypriniformes; Cyprinidae
Exons: 3
Source: RefSeq, a predicted model, not a curated record